RNAcentral lists this ribosomal RNA (1100 nucleotides) under Pseudomonas aeruginosa. RNAcentral describes it as "partial 23S ribosomal RNA". It matches the Rfam family "Bacterial large subunit ribosomal RNA", at positions 1239 to 2323 of the family's 2925-position model. The record is from RNAcentral. Lineage: Bacteria; Pseudomonadati; Pseudomonadota; Gammaproteobacteria; Pseudomonadales; Pseudomonadaceae.
UUCUGUAAGCCUGUGAAGGUGAGUUGAGAAGCUUGCUGGAGGUAUCAGAAGUGCGAAUGCUGACAUGAGUAACGACAAUGGGUGUGAAAAACACCCACGCCGAAAGACCAAGGGUUCCUGCGCAACGUUAAUCGACGCAGGGUUAGUCGGUUCCUAAGGCGAGGCUGAAAAGCGUAGUCGAUGGGAAACAGGUUAAUAUUCCUGUACUUCUGGUUACUGCGAUGGAGGGACGGAGAAGGCUAGGCCAGCUUGGCGUUGGUUGUCCAAGUUUAAGGUGGUAGGCUGAAAUCUUAGGUAAAUCCGGGGUUUCAAGGCCGAGAGCUGAUGACGAGUCGUCUUUUAGAUGACGAAGUGGUUGAUGCCAUGCUUCCAAGAAAAGCUUCUAAGCUUCAGGUAACCAGGAACCGUACCCCAAACCGACACAGGUGGUCGGGUAGAGAAUACCAAGGCGCUUGAGAGAACUCGGGUGAAGGAACUAGGCAAAAUGGCACCGUAACUUCGGGAGAAGGUGCGCCGGCUAGGGUGAAGGAUUUACUCCGUAAGCUCUGGCUGGUCGAAGAUACCAGGCCGCUGCGACUGUUUAUUAAAAACACAGCACUCUGCAAACACGAAAGUGGACGUAUAGGGUGUGACGCCUGCCCGGUGCCGGAAGGUUAAUUGAUGGGGUUAGCGCAAGCGAAGCUCUUGAUCGAAGCCCCGGUAAACGGCGGCCGUAACUAUAACGGUCCUAAGGUAGCGAAAUUCCUUGUCGGGUAAGUUCCGACCUGCACGAAUGGCGUAACGAUGGCGGCGCUGUCUCCACCCGAGACUCAGUGAAAUUGAAAUCGCUGUGAAGAUGCAGUGUAUCCGCGGCUAGACGGAAAGACCCCGUGAACCUUUACUGUAGCUUUGCACUGGACUUUGAGCCUGCUUGUGUAGGAUAGGUGGGAGGCUUUGAAGCGUGGACGCCAGUUCGCGUGGAGCCAUCCUUGAAAUACCACCCUGGCAUGCUUGAGGUUCUAACUCUGGUCCGUGAUCCGGAUCGAGGACAGUGUAUGGUGGGCAGUUUGACUGGGGCGGUCUCCUCCUAAAGAGUAACGGAGGAGUACGAAGGUGCGCUC